CAGCCGCCCGGGAAUACGGAGGGGGCUAGCGUUGUUCGGAAUUACUGGGCGUAAAGCGCACGUAGGCGGCUUUGUAAGUUAGAGGUGAAAGCCCGGAGCUCAACUCCGGAAUUGCCUUUAAGACUGCAGAGCUAGCAGGUGAGAGAGGUGAGUGGAAUUCCGAGUGUAGAGGUGAAAUUCGUAGAUAUUCGGAAGAACACCAGUGGCGAAGGCGGCUCACUGGCUCAUACUGGACGCUGAGGUGCGAAAGCGUGGGGAGCAAACAGGAUUAGAUACCCGCGUAGUCCCUGUCUCUUAUACA
Molecule: ribosomal RNA, 301 nt
Filed under: uncultured bacterium
Lineage: Bacteria
Description: partial 16S ribosomal RNA
Rfam family: Bacterial small subunit ribosomal RNA
Source: RNAcentral